This 403-nucleotide ribosomal RNA is filed under the name uncultured bacterium. Its description in RNAcentral is "partial 16S ribosomal RNA". It matches the Rfam family "Bacterial small subunit ribosomal RNA", at positions 28 to 526 of the family's 1533-position model. The record is from RNAcentral.
GACGAACGCUGGCGGCGUGCCUAAUACAUGCAAGUCGAACGCAGUGGGGACGGUUUAGUAACACGUGGGUAACCUCCCAUCAGAGGGGAUAACCCUUGGAAACAGGUGCUAAACCGCUACUGAUGGAUGGACCCGCUGGGCAUUAGCUAGGUGGUGGGGUAACGGCUCACCAAGGCCACGAUGCAUAGCCGGUCUGAGAGGGUGACCGGCCACACUGGGACUGAGACACGGCCCAGACUCCUACGGGAGGCAGCAGUAGGGAAUCUUCGGCAAUGGACGAAAGUCUGACAGAGCAACGCCGCGUGAGUGAAGAAGGUUUUCGGAUCGUAAAACUCUGUUGUGAGAGAAGCGGUAUCUAACCAGAAAGCCACGGCUAACUACGUGCCAGCAGCCGCGGUAAUUC